Molecule: ribosomal RNA, 468 nt
Filed under: uncultured bacterium
Lineage: Bacteria
Description: partial 16S ribosomal RNA
Rfam family: Bacterial small subunit ribosomal RNA
Source: RNAcentral
GACGAACGCUGGCGGCGUGCCUAACACAUGCAAGUCGAACGGAAACGCCCUGCUUUCGUGGGGUGCUCGAGUGGCGAACGGGUGCGUAACACGUGUGUAACCUGCCCUAGACUUUGGGAUAACUUCAGGAAACUGGGGCUAAUACCGGAUAGGAUCUCCCGCAGCAUGGUGGGCGUUGGAAAGUUUCGGCGGUUGGGGAUGGACUAGCGGCUUAUGGGCUUGUUGGUGGGGUAGUGGCUUACCAAGGGUUUGAAGGGUCGCCGGCCUGAGAGCGUGACCGGCCACAUGGGGACUGAGGUAGGGCCCAGACUCCUACAGGAGGCAGCAGUGGGAAAUAUUGCACAAUGGGCGGAAGCCUGAUGCAGCGGCGCCGCGUGCGGGAUGACGGCCUUCGGGUUGUAAACCGCUUUCGCCUGUGACGAAGCGUGAGUGACGGUAAUGGGUAAAGAAGCACCGGCUAACUACGUG